ACUCAAAUGAAUUGACGGGGGCCCGCACAAGCGGUGGAGCAUGUGGUUUAAUUCGAUGCAACGCGAAGAACCUUACCGGGGCUUGAACUGCAGUGGACAUCCCAUGAAAGUGGGCUUCCUUCGGGACCGCUGUAGAGGUGCUGCAUGGUUGUCGUCAGCUCGUGUCGUGAGAUGUUGGGUUAAGUCCCGCAACGAGCGCAACCCCUGUCCUUAGUUGCCAACAGCUCGGCUGGGAACUCUAAGGAGACUGCCGACCCUAAGUCGGAGGAAGGUGGGGACGACGUCAAAUCCUCAUGGCCCUUACGUCCCGGGCUACACACGUGCUACAAUGGCCGGUACAAAGGGUUGCAAGACCGCAAGGUGGAGCUAAUCCCAAAAAACCGGUCUCAGUUCAGAUCGAAGUCUGCAACUCGACUUCGUGAAGGCGGAAUCGCUAGUAAUCGCGGAUCAGAAUGCCGCGGUGAAUACGUUCCCGGGCCUUGUACACACCGCCCGU
This 496-nucleotide ribosomal RNA is filed under the name uncultured bacterium. RNAcentral describes it as "bacterial SSU rRNA". It matches the Rfam family "Bacterial small subunit ribosomal RNA", at positions 899 to 1397 of the family's 1533-position model. The record is from RNAcentral.